UACGAAGGGAGCUAGCGUUGUUCGGAAUCACUGGGCGUAAAGGGCGCGUAGGCGGCUUUAUAAGUCAGUGGUGAAAUGCUCUAGCUUAACUAGAGAGGUGCCAAUGAUACUGCAGGGCUUGAGUACAGAUGAGGUAGGCGGAAUUGACGGUGUAGCGGUGAAAUGCAUAGAUAUCGUCAAGAACACCUAUAGCGAAGGCAGCUUACUGGGCUGUAACUGACGCUGAGGCACGAAAGUGUGGGGAUCAAACAGG
This 253-nucleotide ribosomal RNA is filed under the name uncultured bacterium. RNAcentral describes it as "partial 16S ribosomal RNA". It matches the Rfam family "Bacterial small subunit ribosomal RNA", at positions 524 to 776 of the family's 1533-position model. The record is from RNAcentral.